RNAcentral lists this ribosomal RNA (684 nucleotides) under uncultured Staphylococcus sp. RNAcentral's name for it is "bacterial SSU rRNA". It matches the Rfam family "Bacterial small subunit ribosomal RNA", at positions 62 to 728 of the family's 1533-position model. The record is from RNAcentral. Lineage: Bacteria; Bacillati; Bacillota; Bacilli; Caryophanales; Staphylococcaceae.
UCGAGCGAACGGACGAGAAGCUUGCUUCUCUGAUGUUAGCGGCGGACGGGUGAGUAACACGUGGAUAACCUACCUAUAAGACUGGGAUAACUUCGGGAAACCGGAGCUAAUACCGGAUAAUAUUUUGAACCGCAUGGUUCAAAAGUGAAAGACGGUCUUGCUGUCACUUAUAGAUGGAUCCGCGCUGCAUUAGCUAGUUGGUAAGGUAACGGCUUACCAAGGCAACGAUGCAUAGCCGACCUGAGAGGGUGAUCGGCCACACUGGAACUGAGACACGGUCCAGACUCCUACGGGAGGCAGCAGUAGGGAAUCUUCCGCAAUGGGCGAAAGCCUGACGGAGCAGCGCCGCGUGAGUGAUGGAGGUCUUCGGAUCGUAAAACUCCGUUAUUAGGGAAGAACAUAUGUGUAAGUAACUAUGCACAUCUUGACGGUACCUAAUCAGAAAGCCACGGCUAACUACGUGCCAGCAGCCGCGGUAAUACGUAGGUGGCAAGCGUUAUCCGGAAUUAUUGGGCGUAAAGCGCGCGUAGGCGGUUUUUUAAGUCUGAUGUGAAAGCCCACGGCUCAACCGUGGAGGGUCAUUGGAAACUGGAAAACUUGAGUGCAGAAGAGGAAAGUGGAAUUCCAUGUGUAGCGGUGAAAUGCGCAGAGAUAUGGAGGAACACCAGUGGCGAAGGCGACUUU